RNAcentral lists this ribosomal RNA (255 nucleotides) under uncultured bacterium. RNAcentral's name for it is "partial 16S ribosomal RNA". It matches the Rfam family "Bacterial small subunit ribosomal RNA", at positions 524 to 776 of the family's 1533-position model. The record is from RNAcentral.
UACGGGGGGGAGCAAGCGUUGUUCGGAUUUACUGGGCGUAAAGGGCGCGUAGGCGGGAUGGCAAGUCGGUCGUGAAAUCCUUCGGCUCAACCGAAGAACGUCGAUCGAUACUGCUGUUCUUGAGGGUUGCAGAGGAGACUGGAAUUCCCGGUGUAGCGGUGAAAUGUGUAGAGAUCGGGAGGAACACCGGUGGCGAAGGCGGGUCUCUGGGGCAAUUCCUGACGCUGAGGCGCGAAAGCGUGGGGAGCGAACAGG